GACACGAUGGCCAAUUGGUCAAGGCUAUAGAAGUAUGGAGUCCAUGGCGCAGGUUCGAAACCUGAUCCCGUCU
Coprinopsis sp. MPI-PUGE-AT-0042 is the source of this 73-nucleotide non-coding RNA. The record is from the annotation of a GenBank genome assembly. NCBI's taxonomy places the organism in Eukaryota, Fungi, Basidiomycota, Agaricomycetes, Agaricales, Psathyrellaceae.